AGCGCAGGCGGAAGGACAAGUUGGAAGUGAAACCCACGGGCUCAACCCGUGAACUGCUUUCAAAACUGUUUUUCUUGAGUGGUGUAGAGGUAGGCGGAAUUCCCGGUGUAGCGGUGGAAUGCGUAGAUAUCGGGAGGAACACCAGUGGCGAAGGCGGCCUACUGGGCACUAACUGACGCUGAGGCUCGAAAGCAUGGGUAGCAAACA
RNAcentral lists this ribosomal RNA (207 nucleotides) under uncultured bacterium. Its description in RNAcentral is "partial 16S ribosomal RNA". It matches the Rfam family "Bacterial small subunit ribosomal RNA", at positions 568 to 774 of the family's 1533-position model. The record is from RNAcentral.